RNAcentral lists this ribosomal RNA (497 nucleotides) under uncultured bacterium. RNAcentral's name for it is "partial 16S ribosomal RNA". It matches the Rfam family "Bacterial small subunit ribosomal RNA", at positions 28 to 507 of the family's 1533-position model. The record is from RNAcentral.
GACGAACGCUGGCGGCGUGCCUAAUACAUGCAAGUUGAGCGCUGAAGGCUGGUACUUGUACCAACUGGAUGAGCAGCGAACGGGUGAGUAACGCGUGGGGAAUCUGCCUUUGAGCGGGGGACAACAUUUGGAAACGAAUGCUAAUACCGCAUAAAAACUUUAAACACAAGUUUUAAGUUUGAAAGAUGCAAUUGCAUCACUCAAAGAUGAUCCCGCGUUGUAUUAGCUAGUUGGUGAGGUAAAGGCUCACCAAGGCGAUGAUACAUAGCCGACCUGGGAGGGUGAUAGGCCACAUUGGGACUGAGACACGGCCCAAACUCCUACGGGAGGCAGCAGUAGGGAAUCUUCGGCAAUGGACGAAAGUCUGACCGAGCAACGCCGCGUGAGUGAAGAAGGUUUUCGGAUCGUAAAACUCUGUUGGUAGAGAAGAACGUUGGUGGGAGUGGAAAGCGCAUCAAGUGACGGUAACUACCCAGAAAGGGACGGCUAACUACGUG